UGAGGAAUAUUGGUCAAUGGGCGGGAGCCUGAACCAGCCAAGCCGCGUGAGGGAAGAAGGCCCUAUGGGUCGUAAACCUCUUUUGUCAGGGAACAAAAGCGAGUAUGUAUACUAGUCUGAGUGUACCUGAAGAAAAAGCAUCGGCUAACUCCGUGCCAGCAGCCGCGGUAAUACGGAGGAUGCGAGCGUUAUCCGGAUUUAUUGGGUUUAAAGGGUGCGUAGGCGGCGAUGCAAGUCAGCGGUAAAAGCCCGGGGCUCAACCCCGGCGAGCGUUGAAACUGCAGUGCUAGAGAAGGCGAGAGGUACGCGGAAUGCGCAGUGUAGCGGUGAAUGCUUAGAUAUUGCGCAGAACUCCGAUUGCGAAGGCAGCGUACUGGCGCCUGACUGACGCUGAGGCACGAAAGCGUGGGGAUCGAACAGGAUUAGAUACC
This 431-nucleotide ribosomal RNA is filed under the name uncultured bacterium. RNAcentral describes it as "bacterial SSU rRNA". It matches the Rfam family "Bacterial small subunit ribosomal RNA", at positions 355 to 786 of the family's 1533-position model. The record is from RNAcentral.